GUGGUUUGGGGUUCUGCAAACCUCCAGGAAGCUAGGAGUUGCUUUCCAUGCAGAAAAGGGUACUGAGUUCCUUGUGAAAUCUCCCUUUGUUCUCUAGGUGUUGCCAAAAUAAAGCCACAGUGACAAGUGUAUCUUUCCCUACCUAUUCUAAGAUAAUUAACAAAGGAAAAGAGGCUAAACCUUUCAAAACAGACCUGACAAUAGAAUAAGGAGACAUCUCUCAGACACCAAAUCUUGUCAAAAUAUAGCCAAAAGACAACAAGAAGUAGGAAUUUGUGUUUACUACAUUUAAUUACACUUGUAUAUCUCUUUCUAUAUCAAGCAUCCCAGAAAGCCAUGAAUUUUAAGACAAAACAAAACUUCACUUCAGUUUUCCUAUAAACACCUCUACCUCAAUAUGAA
This is a long non-coding RNA of Fukomys damarensis (Damara mole-rat), 402 nucleotides long. RefSeq lists it as uncharacterized. NCBI's taxonomy places the organism in Eukaryota, Metazoa, Chordata, Mammalia, Rodentia, Bathyergidae. The record is from RefSeq and is a predicted model, not a curated record. The transcript has 3 exons.